AGCAGCCGCGGUAAUUCCAGCUCCAAUAGCGUAUAUUAAAGUUGUUGCAGUUAAAAAGCUCGUAGUUGAAUUUCGGGAUCAAUUUAUUGGUCGUGCUAUUGUACGUACUGGUAUUAUUGAUUUCUACCUUCUGACGAACCAUGAUGUCAUUAAUUUGGUGUCUUGGGGAAUCAGGACUGUUACUUUGAAAAAUUAGAGUGUUUAAAGCAGGCUCACGCUUGAAUACAUUAGCAUGGAAUAACGAAAUAGGACGUUUGAUUCUAUUUUGUUGGUUUCUAGGAUCGACGUAAUGAUUAAUAGGGAUAGUUGGGGGCAUUAGUAUUCAAUUGUCAGAGGUGAAAUUCUUGGAUUUAUUGAAGACUAACUACUGCGAAAGCAUUUGCCAAGGAUGUUUUCAUUAAUCAAGAACGAAAGUUAGGGGAUCGAAGACGAUCAGAUACCGUCGUAGUCUUAACCAUAAACUAUGCCGACUAG
Molecule: ribosomal RNA, 474 nt
Filed under: uncultured Glomeromycotina
Lineage: Eukaryota; Fungi; Glomeromycota
Description: SSU rRNA
Rfam family: Eukaryotic small subunit ribosomal RNA
Source: RNAcentral